ACUGACCUCUGGUGUAUCUGCUGUCCUGCCAAGGGCACCGCAGAGUAGCUAUGUCGGGAAUGGAUAACCUCUGAAAGCAUCUAAGAGGGAAGCCAGCUUCAAGAUUAGGAAUCGUUAAGAACCCUGGGAGAUGACCAGGUUGAUAGGCUUUAGGUAAAAGCGCAGUAAUGCGUUAAGCCGAGAAGUACUAAUGUUUCGAUUCCUGUUAAGAA
This is a non-coding RNA of Candidatus Nomurabacteria bacterium, 212 nucleotides long. NCBI's taxonomy places the organism in Bacteria, Candidatus Nomuraibacteriota. The record is from Rfam.